GAUGAAGAACGUAGCGAAAUGCGAUACUUGGUGUGAAUUGCAGAAUCCCGUGAACCAUCGAGUCUUUGAACGCAAGUUGCGCCCGAAGCCAUUAGGCCGAGGGCACGCCUGCCUGGGCGUCACACGUCGUUGCCCCCCCCAUCUACUCCUUCGGGAUUGCGGGGGGCGGAUGAUGGCCUCCCGUGCGCCUCGCCGCGCGGUUGGCAUAAAUGCCAAGUCCUCGGCGACGCACGCCACGACAAUCGGUGGUUGCGAAACCUCGGUUGCCCGUCGUGUGCGGUCGUCGCGCAUCGAGGGCUCGAAAAAAUUGCCGGGCUCCGGCUCGGCUUUCAACGCGACCCCAGGUCAGGCGGGGUUACCCGCUGAAUUUAAGCAUAUCAAUAAGCGGAGGA
Molecule: unclassified non-coding RNA, 392 nt
Filed under: soil metagenome
Description: partial contains 5.8S ribosomal RNA, internal transcribed spacer 2, and large subunit ribosomal RNA
Rfam family: 5.8S ribosomal RNA (bases 1-122)
Source: RNAcentral